GCCCCGCCCCGCGCCGGGUGUCCGCCGUCGCCACCGCCGGGGCAAGGGAGCGCUUCCCCAACUUGGAAAGCGGGGCCGCAGCGCCCGCCGCCGGCGGGGCAGCCAUGGAGGCAGCGGCGCGGAGGCGGCAGCAUCCGGGAGCGGCGGGAGGCGCGGGCGCGCAGCCGGGCGCGUCCUUCCUGCAGGCCAGGCACAGCUCCGUCAAGGCUGAUGAAGCUGCCGGCACAGCUCCCUUCCACUUUGACCUCUGGUUCUACUUCACCCUGCAGAACUGGGUUCUGGACUUUGGCCGCCCCAUUGCCAUGCUGGUGUUCCCUCUCGAAUGGUUUCCGCUCAACAAGCCCAGCGUGGGGGACUACUUCCACAUGGCCUACAACAUCAUCACGCCCUUCCUUCUGCUCAAGCUCAUUGAGCGGUCCCCCCGCACCCUGCCACGCUCCAUGAUCUACGUCAGCAUCAUCACCUUCGUCAUGGGUGCCAGCAUCCACCUGGUGGGCGACUCCGUGAACCACCGCUUGCUCUUCAGUGGCUACCAGCACCACCUGUCUGUCCGUGAGAAUCCCAUCAUCAAGAACCUCAAGCCGGAGACACUGAUCGACUCCUUUGAGCUGCUCUACUACUACGACGAGUACCUGGGCCACUCCAUGUGGUACAUCCCUUUCUUCCUCAUCCUCUUCAUAUACUUCAGUGGUUGUUUCACUCCCACCAAAGCCGAGAGUUCAGCGCCAGGGGUGGCCCUGCUCCUGGUGAUGCCCAGUGGCCUGUACUAUUGGUACCUGGUCACCGAGGGCCAGAUCUUCAUCCUCUUCAUCUUCACCUUCUUCGCCAUGCUGGCCCUUGUCCUGCACCAGAAGCGGAAGCGCCUCUUCCUGGACAGCAACGGCCUCUUCCUCUUCUACUCCUUUGCGCUCACCCUCCUGCUUGUGGCACUGUGGGUCGCCUGGCUGUGGAAUGACCCUGUACUCAGGAAGAAGUACCCGGGUGUCAUCUACGUCCCUGAGCCCUGGGCCUUCUACACCCUCCACGUCAGCAGCCGACACUGAGUCCCUGGCACCAGCCGCUGGUGCUCUGCCUGGCGGGAGACGGGCCACAGAGAGCGUCUGAGUGUGGUGGGCGGGUGCUUGCGUGCGCGCACACACGUGUGUGUCCAUCCGUGUGUGCAAUCGUGACAAUGCUGGUGGGGGUAGGCGUCUUGCACACGGGCGGGUGUGUGUGUGUGUGUGUGUGUGUGUGUGUGCGUGCGUGCGCGUGCGUGCAGAUGCAUCAUCGUAAUACUCGACUGUUUGGAUCAAGUUUCUCUGUGGCUUUGAUCUUUUCAGGAUGGGAUGUCGUCUUAGGCAGUGUGUCCAGGCCGAGGUCUGGGCCCUGCCUUCUUGUGCACCUGACUGGACUCUUCCCAGGAUGUCUUCUGGUCGCCAUCCUGGAGACGCCUGCUACCUGUAGGCCAGUGGUUCUCGAAGUGUGGCCCUGACUGGCACACGAGGAUGGCAGAGGAAAAUACAAACUGGCCCCUUCUGUCUGCUGAAUCAGAACCUCUGGUGAUGGGGCCCUUCUGGUGAACAAAGUCUCAGCCCUCAGUUGGUAUUGGACGGGGUUUCUAUUUUUCAUGUCCUGUGAUGAUGCCCGGUGCAGAAACUGAGGCACAGAGCAGUGAGAUGAUGCUCCGGGGUCACUCAGCAAAUGAACCCAAGGGAAGGAUUUGAAUCCAACCCAAGAGCAGGAAGCCCAUGUCCCUUCCUCACUCUGUACCACGAGGCCUGGGCAGCGGGGUGCCCACUGCCCGGCUGCACCACCAUGGUAGGGCUCCCUGCUGCCUCCAGGAUGGUGUGUGAUGGGCCUUAAGUAAGACGGGGUGCAAAGUGCCAGGCACCAAGGAGGAAUUGUCAGCCCCCAGCUUAGUCCCAGGGGAGAGAAAAGACCACCCCCCCACUCCCUCCCCAGGCAGGGACCCCCUUCUGUGUACUCACCGACACUUUCCCGGUGUCCACGGAGGGCUCCCAGGAAGGAACCAGGGCACGUGUCCGUUUGCUACAGAGCAUCAGCGUCCUGAUGCAGGACGAGUCCUGGGGGAGCUCUUUCCGCAGCCUCAUUUUCUCGAAGUGAAACCUGUCGCCCUGGCCGGGCGGUGGCGGGGCAUCAGCUGUGCUCGGGGAAGCUGGAAUCUGACCCGGGCACUGGGCCUGGUCUCCAUGGCAGCCGCGGAUUUAUUACUGGGGCCUCCACCCAGCUUGGCGGACUUUCGACUUGGAGCCGGGAGGAGAGGGACAGAACAGGCGGUUGUGGGAGCCGGGAGCCCACAGGCGACAGCCUGAGGCCCCGCGAUGGCCAAGUUUCUUUCCCAGGACCAAAUUAAUGAGUACAAGGAAUGCUUCUCCCUGUAUGACAAGCAGCAGCGGGGGAAGAUAAAAGCCACUGACCUCAUGGUGGUGAUGAGGUGCCUGGGGGCCAGCCCGACACCUGGAGAGGUGCAGCGGCACCUGCAGACUCACGGGAUCGUGGACGAUCUUUUCAGGGAAGCAGAGAUUGAACCAAAUGGCAAAGUGAAGUAUGAUGAAUUUAUCGACAAGAUCACCAUCCCUGUGCAGGACUACUGAGCGAAGAGGAGCCAAGGCUUAGGGGUCCUGGCCCCACAUCUCUUUUUGACUCGUCAUGGACAUGAGGAAGCAAGUCCUGCACAGCCAAUCUGGAAUACCACGGAUGAUACAGCAGAUACCUAGGAGUUAGAUAGGACAGGAAAGGAAGUUCUGGGCUAAAAUAAUAAACAAGGGUACUUCCCCUCCAAGCUUUUUAAAUGUUUGUCACUGAAUGGUCCCAGGAUGGUUUUAAAGCAAAGUUUUAUCAAUCUCAUUUUCCUACCAGGAAGUAUCGCUUGCCCAAAGCACCUGAGUGGCUUGGUCAUUAGAGCCUGGGCUCAUCUGCACCGACUCCGUGUUCCUAAUUCCGGGUGUUCAGUGGCUAGGACUCCAAGACCCUGUGACCCUGUGACUCGUUCUCACUGAAACCUCUACCCCAGGAAAGGCCUUCUCUUACUACCCCAAGGCCGUUUCUUGUUCAUUCCUGAAAUCCCAGUUGGUUUACCUAGCACCUAGCGUUGUUUACAAAAACAGGCCACACCUCUCUUAGCACUCAAACUGCAGAUUAUCAAAUAGAUUUAAAACUAAACAGAUGCUGUGGUUUCAGUACAAAGCUUGCCAUAUUUCAGUAAGAAAGGGGGAAUGAUGGCUGUAUAUGCAUUACUUACCUCAAAGCAUGUUGCAAGGGAAUUAACUGCCAUGCUUUGAAAUCUCUGGAUGAAUGGUGCUCUGAAACACCAAGCAUUAUCAGUUUUCUUACGGGGAUGGUCCCUUGCAUACCCACGGUAUAUUUUACAGAAGACAAAUUAACUGAAGGCUUUUCUUUUAUUACAUCUAAAGAGCUCUACAUAAACAGGUAACAUUCAAUAGGUAAACAAUUUUUUUCCAAUGCAUGUAAUAAAUAUUUUCACUUGGUACUUUUAUACAAACUGACAUUGGUCUACUAUACAUUUUUAAAAGCCAUUUUACUGGUUUGGCAUGCGGUAUGGAAAUUCUAAGAGAGAAAGUUUUAAGGCAAUGAAUCACAGAUUUAAGUUCAUGGAAUUUAUGGUAACUUUUAUAUCUGUUUAUAUACAUUUCCCCUUUGUUAAUUAAACAAUUAACAGCAGCACACUCUGGGACCACCAGCUAUUCUCCCUCCCUCUUUCUGAAAUCUAAGCUUUGUGUUUUUUUUUUUUUAACUAAAAAACAGAAUUCAACAUGUAUUGAUAAAACAAAAUUCUUACUAAAAUAAUUUUAAAUGUGCUUUAAAGUUCUGAAGAUCUUGAAGUGUCUUAUGGAUUUAAACUUGGAAUUGUUUAAAAAUGUUCUUUCCACAAUUAGUUAGUUUAAAAUUGGGAUAUAUGUUCAUUGUUUCAGACAUUUGACUCAAAGGAAAAUCUGCCAAGAAAUCACAUUUAACAGAAGCUUAAGUGCAAUCUUUCCUAAGUCAGUAACGAUACAGAAUUGUGAUAAUGUCUAAAUUAACAGAAGAAAAACUUUAAUGCUCAAAAUAAAUUAGUCAACCAAGUGUGGCACGAUUAAGGUCAGAUUGUUUUUAAAAAGACGUGUCCAAUAAUGCCCACAAGAUAAUUAAAAGCCACUUCAACCCUGCUAAGUCAAAUAGCUAUUUUAUCAAAAAAUACAGAGUACUGUACAGAAACAGAAACAUAUGUGCACCUACUGGGAAAGCCCACGGCAAGGGGAUGGUGGCAGCUUGCCUAAAGAUUCUGGGAAUCGCUCUUCGUCCACAGACAGCAUGUCAGUGUUGGCGUGGGGUGAGGGUGGGUUAAGGAAAAAACCGAUGAAAUGCCUGUGCACUUCUUCUUCUUCUUUUUUUUUUUUUUUAACUUAGAAGAUAACGGUGCAGGGCAUGACUCUACCAAUAACGACUACCGAUCAAAACAGUCUGAUGGACCAGUGUUGACCAGGAGACCAACAGAGGGAUAGCUACUGCUACUGCGACACUCUGGCAAGCCAACAACUGAAAGAAACAAACUCCUUAGAGUGGAAUGAACUAAAAUCGAAAGACAAUCGAAUGGUUCGUUUCUCCUGUGGAGACAUGACCAAAGCCACUAGACAGACAUUUCUUUCUCCCUAUUUAUUACCUGUUCUUCCUUUAGUCUGGUAUAAUGCAGGACACUGAGGGAAACUCACCAUCCCCAAACCUCAGCUGAAGGAAGGACAGGGAUGGGUUUUUAACUGGAUCAUUCAGAGUUUGGGAUUCAGCACUACACACAAAGUUAUUGAUCAGAAUUUUGAGACCACUAACAACAAUGACAGAAAAACAAAGAAAAGAGGAUACAGAAAACUAUUCAUUUUAGGUAGCUGAAUUAAUAGAAAUGAUGUUUCCUAUUACAGUGUGAAAUAAGAAGCAACACCCCACAACUUGAGUGAUUUCUAUCUCAGUCUGAAUUUAGACACAAAUUAUGGUACUCUUAAAUCUUAGCCUAAGUUAAUAUGGCAACGAGCGUUCUUAAAGAGUUUACUCACCAUAAGAGCAGAUUUAUUAAAACACUAAUUCCUGUUUUCACCGACAA
RNA transcript from Felis catus (domestic cat), 5092 nucleotides. It is a transcript of the gene named CLN6 transmembrane ER protein, with no coding region annotated. The transcript is spliced from 13 exons. The record is from RefSeq and is a predicted model, not a curated record. Lineage: Eukaryota; Metazoa; Chordata; Mammalia; Carnivora; Felidae.